Long non-coding RNA from Eptesicus fuscus (big brown bat), 364 nucleotides. RefSeq lists it as uncharacterized. The record is from RefSeq and is a predicted model, not a curated record. The transcript is spliced from 3 exons. Lineage: Eukaryota; Metazoa; Chordata; Mammalia; Chiroptera; Vespertilionidae.
UAGAGGCACCAUAUGAUGUCCUUCUGAAGAAAUUUCAGAGGGUCAGGAAACCCAGACUUAAUACCCACAGGAAACGGCAAGAGUAUGGAUCUCCAUCACCAGGGGGCCAGGUGACACUUGAAGGAAUCACAAAAAGAAGACUUUGAGAUGGGAAUACAUCUCAGAAAAUGUCAUGUUUGUAACAGGCUGAUCUUCUGGAUAUUUCUACAAGCUACCCAGACAUGUGUUCAACCCAAAUAGGGAGGCAUCUUCAGAAAUUCUUCACAAGCACCCAAGAAAUCAUAAAAUGAAGGUCCUAUGAUCUUUGUCUGUGCAAACAAAUGAUGCUUAAACAGUUUCAGAAAGAUUGGAGUAGAAAGCAAGC